RNAcentral lists this ribosomal RNA (468 nucleotides) under uncultured bacterium. RNAcentral describes it as "partial 16S ribosomal RNA". It matches the Rfam family "Bacterial small subunit ribosomal RNA", at positions 28 to 507 of the family's 1533-position model. The record is from RNAcentral.
GACGAACGCUGGCGGCGUGCUUAACACACGCAAGUCGAACGGAAAGGCCCUGCUUUUGUGGGGUGCUCGAGUGGCGAACGGGUGAGUAACACGUGAGUAACCUGCCCUUGACUUUGGGAUAACUUCAGGAAACUGGGGCUAAUACCGGAUAGGAGCUCCUGCUGCAUGGUGGGGGUUGGAAAGUUUCGGCGGUUGGGGAUGGACUCGCGGCUUAUCAGCUUGUUGGUGGGGUAGUGGCUUACCAAGGCUUUGACGGGUAGCCGGCCUGAGAGGGUGACCGGCCACAUUGGGACUGAGAUACGGCCCAGACUCCUACGGGAGGCAGCAGUGGGGAAUAUUGCACAAUGGGCGGAAGCCUGAUGCAGCAACGCCGCGUGCGGGAUGACGGCCUUCGGGUUGUAAACCGCUUUCGCCUGUGACGAAGCGUGAGUGACGGUAAUGGGUAAAGAGGCACCGGCUAACUACGUG